AAGGGCAUAAAUUUCCACUGAUUUCAGCCUUGCUGCAUUUUUACCGAAGACCUCCACCAGCAACAUGAAGUUGGGAGGCCUCCUCCUCCUUGUGACCUUCAUCACCGUCAGCUUAGAGGUAGAGGUGCUUCAGGCUGAAGUGAAAC
Non-coding RNA from Ceratotherium simum simum (southern white rhinoceros), 146 nucleotides. NCBI's taxonomy places the organism in Eukaryota, Metazoa, Chordata, Mammalia, Perissodactyla, Rhinocerotidae. The record is from RefSeq and is a predicted model, not a curated record.